This 167-nucleotide microRNA precursor is filed under the name Pelobates cultripes (western spadefoot toad). Lineage: Eukaryota; Metazoa; Chordata; Amphibia; Anura; Pelobatidae. The record is from RNAcentral.
GGUCAGCUGACACAUCCCUGCCAAUCUCCGGCAGACCCUCCCUCUCAGACCCUCCCACCUCCUGGACAGCAUCCAUGUUGAAGCUGCCUUCAACAUGGAUGCUGUCCAGGAAGUAGGAGGGUCUGGGAGGGAGGGUCUGCUGGAGAUUGGCCGGGAUGUGUCAGCUG